UUCCAGACUCCUACGGGAGGCAGCAGUGGGGAAUAUUGGGCAAUGGGCGCAAGCCUGACCCAGCAAUGCCGCGUGAAGGAAGAAGGCUUUCGGGUUGUAAACUUCUUUGACAGGGGAAGAGCAGAAGACGGUACCCUGAAAACAAGCCACGGCUAACUACGUGCCAGCAGCCGCGGUAAUACGUAGGGAGCAAGCGUUGUCCGGAAUUACUGGGCGUAAAGGGCGCGUAGGUGGGCGCUUAAGUCAGGUGUGAAAACUCCGGGCUCAACCUGGAGACUGCACUUGAAACUGGGUGUCUUGAGGGCAGGAGAGGAAAGUGGAAUUCCUAGUGUAGCGGUGAAAUGCGUAGAUAUUAGGAGGAACACCAGUGGCGAAGGCGACUUUCUGGACUGUACCUGACGCUGAGGCGCGAAAGCGUGGGUAGCGAACGGGAUUAGAUACCCGUGUAC
RNAcentral lists this ribosomal RNA (449 nucleotides) under uncultured bacterium. Its description in RNAcentral is "bacterial SSU rRNA". It matches the Rfam family "Bacterial small subunit ribosomal RNA", at positions 329 to 793 of the family's 1533-position model. The record is from RNAcentral.